UCACCCGGUGUCAAGAGCACACGGUCAGCGCUGAGCUGCGGGUGUAGCCCAAAGGACUUGAGACCUCGUGUUCUGGGAGAGGACAGACAGAGCUCACCGUCUCCAGCUGAGGAAGAGCUUUAAUUCUGGAGACAGGGGUGGAGUUAACUCCAUUAUAAGAAGACAGAAUGAGGAAGAAGUUGGUUUCCCAGAGGAAAAUUAGGAUUCCAGUUCUCUGUUGAUGUUCUUCAUCUUGUCAUCUAUGUUUUGUGCACACUAAUGG
This is a non-coding RNA of Kogia breviceps (pygmy sperm whale), 262 nucleotides long. The record is from RefSeq and is a predicted model, not a curated record. Lineage: Eukaryota; Metazoa; Chordata; Mammalia; Artiodactyla; Physeteridae.